This 602-nucleotide ribosomal RNA is filed under the name Vibrio parahaemolyticus. RNAcentral's name for it is "partial 23S ribosomal RNA". It matches the Rfam family "Bacterial large subunit ribosomal RNA", at positions 607 to 1212 of the family's 2925-position model. Lineage: Bacteria; Pseudomonadati; Pseudomonadota; Gammaproteobacteria; Vibrionales; Vibrionaceae. The record is from RNAcentral.
UUUGUAUAAUGGGUCAGCGACUUAUAUUCAGUGGCAAGGUUAACCAUCUAGGGGAGCCGUAGGGAAACCGAGUCUUAACUGGGCGUUCAGUCUCUGGAUAUAGACCCGAAACCAGGUGAUCUAGCCAUGGGCAGGUUGAAGGUUGAGUAACAUCAACUGGAGGACCGAACCGACUAAUGUUGAAAAAUUAGCGGAUGACUUGUGGCUAGGGGUGAAAGGCCAAUCAAACCUGGAGAUAGCUGGUUCUCCCCGAAAGCUAUUUAGGUAGCGCCUCGGACGAAUACUACUGGGGGUAGAGCACUGUUAAGGCUAGGGGGUCAUCCCGACUUACCAACCCUUUGCAAACUCCGAAUACCAGUAAGUACUAUCCGGGAGACACACGGCGGGUGCUAACGUCCGUCGUGGAGAGGGAAACAACCCAGACCGCCAGCUAAGGUCCCAAAUUACUACUAAGUGGGAAACGAUGUGGGAAGGCUCAGACAGCCAGGAUGUUGGCUUAGAAGCAGCCAUCAUUUAAAGAAAGCGUAAUAGCUCACUGGUCGAGUCGGCCUGCGCGGAAGAUGUAACGGGGCUAAGUAGUAAACCGAAGCUGCGGCAAUAUA